ACCAGAGGCAUUGUCGGCGGUUUUCCCAGGCGCAAGCCGGGAGAUUAAAAGGGAACGACGGAAGCGACAGGCGUCCAAGCCUGAUGCAAGCCGUGGCUGUCCCCGCAACUGUGAGCGGCGAGUCGGCGCCAGAAAGCCACUGACCGGAAAUCCUUGGGAUCCCGGUCGGGAAGGCGGUGCCGGAUGACGACCCGCGAGCCAGGAGACCUGCCUCCGACAGCGUCACUCU
This 229-nucleotide non-coding RNA is filed under the name Azospirillum sp. RNAcentral also lists the same sequence under 1 other name. Lineage: Bacteria; Pseudomonadati; Pseudomonadota; Alphaproteobacteria; Rhodospirillales; Azospirillaceae. The record is from RNAcentral.